RNAcentral lists this ribosomal RNA (328 nucleotides) under Enterococcus faecalis. Its description in RNAcentral is "bacterial SSU rRNA". It matches the Rfam family "Bacterial small subunit ribosomal RNA", at positions 113 to 434 of the family's 1533-position model. Lineage: Bacteria; Bacillati; Bacillota; Bacilli; Lactobacillales; Enterococcaceae. The record is from RNAcentral.
ACACGUGGGUAACCUACCCAUCAGAGGGGGAUAACACUUGGAAACAGGUGCUAAUACCGCAUAACAGUUUAUGCCGCAUGGCAUAAGAGUGAAAGGCGCUUUCGGGUGUCGCUGAUGGAUGGACCCGCGGUGCAUUAGCUAGUUGGUGAGGUAACGGCUCACCAAGGCCACGAUGCAUAGCCGACCUGAGAGGGUGAUCGGCCACACUGGGACUGAGACACGGCCCAGACUCCUACGGGAGGCAGCAGUAGGGAAUCUUCGGCAAUGGACGAAAGUCUGACCGAGCAACGCCGCGUGAGUGAAGAAGGUUUUCGGAUCGUAAAACUCU